GUGAACGCUGGCGGUAGGCCUAAUACAUGCAAGUCGAACGGCAGCACCGUAAGAGCUUGCUCUUACGGGUGGCGAGUGGCGGACGGGUGAGGAAUACAUCGGAAUCUACUUUUUCGUGGGGGAUAACGUAGGGAAACUUACGCUAAUACCGCAUACGACCUACGGGUGAAAGCAGGGGAUCUUCGGACCUUGCGCGAUUGAAUGAGCCGAUGUCGGAUUAGCUAGUUGGCGGGGUAAAGGCCCACCAAGGCGACGAUCCGUAGCUGGUCUGAGAGGAUGAUCAGCCACACUGGAACUGAGACACGGUCCAGACUCCUACGGGAGGCAGCAGUGGGGAAUAUUGGACAAUGGGCGCAAGCCUGAUCCAGCCAUACCGCGUGGGUGAAGAAGGCCUUCGGGUUGUAAAGCCCUUUUGUUGGGAAAGAAAAGCAGCAGGUUAAUACCCCGCUGUUCUGACGGUACCCAAAGAAUAAGCACCGGCUAACUUCGUG
This 491-nucleotide ribosomal RNA is filed under the name uncultured bacterium. Its description in RNAcentral is "partial 16S ribosomal RNA". It matches the Rfam family "Bacterial small subunit ribosomal RNA", at positions 29 to 507 of the family's 1533-position model. The record is from RNAcentral.